AGGACGAACGCUGGCGGCGUGGCCUAACACAUGCAAGUCGAGCGGGUGGUUCUGAAGGGCAACCGGAGGGAUCACCUAGCGGCGAACGGGUGAGUAACGCGUUGGAUAACCUACCUCAAGGUCUGGGAUAACAGCUCGAAAGGGCUGCUAAUACCGGAUGUGGUGCAUAUGCUGCAUGGUAGAUGCACUAAAGGGGAAACCCGCCAUGAGAUGGGUCCGCGUCCCAUCAGCUAGUUGGUGGGGUAAAGGCCUACCAAGGCGACGACGGGUAGCCGGCCUGAGAGGGUGACCGGCCACACUGGGACUGAGACACGGCCCAGACUCCUACGGGGGGCAGCAGUGGGGAAUAUUGCACAAUGGGCGAAAGCCUGAUGCAGCGACGCCGCGUGGGCGAAGAAGGCCUUCGGGUUGUAAAGCCCUGUCUGGAGGGACGAAGUAAUGACGGUACCUCCGGAGGAAGCCACGGCUAACUACGUG
This 477-nucleotide ribosomal RNA is filed under the name uncultured bacterium. RNAcentral's name for it is "bacterial SSU rRNA". It matches the Rfam family "Bacterial small subunit ribosomal RNA", at positions 26 to 507 of the family's 1533-position model. The record is from RNAcentral.